This 1349-nucleotide ribosomal RNA is filed under the name uncultured bacterium. RNAcentral describes it as "bacterial SSU rRNA". It matches the Rfam family "Bacterial small subunit ribosomal RNA", at positions 28 to 1390 of the family's 1533-position model. The record is from RNAcentral.
GACGAACGCUGGCGGCGUGCUUAACACAUGCAAGUCGAGCGGUAAGGCUCCUUCGGGAGUACACGAGCGGCGAACGGGUGAGUAACACGUGAGCAAUCUGCCCUUCACUUUGGGAUAACCCCGGGAAACCGGGGCUAAUACCGAAUGCGACCACCGACGGCAUCGUCUGGUGGUGGAAAGUUCCGGCGGUGAAGGAUGAGCUCGCGGCCUAUCAGCUAGUUGGUGGGGUAACGGCCCACCAAGGCAUUGACGGGUAGCCGGCCUGAGAGGGUGACCGGCCACACUGGGACUGAGACACGGCCCAGACUCCUACGGGAGGCAGCAGUGGGGAAUAUUGGACAAUGGGCGAAAGCCUGAUCCAGCAACGCCGCGUGAGGGAUGACGGCCUUCGGGUUGUAAACCUCUUUCAGCAGGGACGAAGCGAAAGUGACUUUACCUGCAGAAGAAGCACCGGCCAACUACGUGCCAGCAGCCGCGGUGAUACGUAGGGUGCGAGCGUUGUCCGGAAUUAUUGGGCGUAAAGGGCUCGUAGGCGGUCCGUCACGUCGGGGAGUGAAAACUCGGGGCUCAAACCCCAAGCUUGCUCUCGAUACGGGCGGACUAGAGGUAGGUAGGGGAGAACGGAAUUCCUGGUGUAGCGGUGGAAUGCGCAGAUAUCAGGAGGAACACCGGUGGCGAGGGCGGUUCUCUGGGCCUUACCUGACGCUGAGGAGCGAAGCGUGGGGAGCGAACAGGAUUAGAUACCCUGGUAGUCCACGCCGUAAACGUUGGGCGCUAGGUGUGGGACUCAUUCCACGAGUUCCGUGCCGCAGCUAACGCACUAAGCGCCCCGCCUGGGGAGUACGGCCGCAAGGCUAAAACUCAAAGGAAUUGACGGGGGCCCGCACAAGCGGCGGAGCGUGCGGAUUAAUUCGAUGCGACGCGAAGAACCUUACCUGGGUUUGACAUAUAGAGAAAACUGUCAGAGAUGGCAGGUCCGUAAGGGCUCUAUACAGGUGGUGCAUGGCGGUCGUCAGCUCGUGUCGUGAGAUGUUGGGUUAAGUCCCGCAACGAGCGCAACCCUCUUCCUAUGUUGCCAGCACAUAAUGGUGGGGACUCAUAGGAGACUGCCGGGGUCAACUCGGAGGAAGGUGGGGAUGAGGUCAAGUCAUCAUGCCCCUUAUGUCCAGGGCUUCACGCAUGCUACAAUGGCCGGUACAAAGGGCUGCGAAACUGCAAAGUAGAGCGAAUCCCAAAAAGCCGGUCUCAGUUCGGAUUGGGGUCUGCAACUCGACCCCAUGAAGUCGGAGUCGCUAGUAAUCGCAGAUCAGCAACGCUGCGGUGAAUACGUUCCCGGGCCUUGCACUCAC